Long non-coding RNA from Nomascus leucogenys (northern white-cheeked gibbon), 4271 nucleotides. RefSeq lists it as uncharacterized. Lineage: Eukaryota; Metazoa; Chordata; Mammalia; Primates; Hylobatidae. The transcript has 5 exons. The record is from RefSeq and is a predicted model, not a curated record.
CUUAACUACACACACAGACACACACACACACACACACACACACACACACACACACCUUGGAUGUUAGCUUUUAUUUAAGCUUUUAGCCAUUAAGCUCCUUAAAAAAAAAUCCCUUCAAAUCUCAUUACUGUAUUUUAGCUAGUACAAACUGCUGAUAUUUCAAAAAUAAUGCAAAUACCAAGCCAGAAAGGGCUUGAUUUAGGAACCAAACUUAGGCAGUCAUGAUGAAAAUAAGGACAGAACCUUAGUUUCCAAACUGCAGCACUGGGGGACAACCGUUGCUCUUUCAGUUUGGCCUGGUUAGCAAAAGAUGGCCUUGCUAUGUAAAUAAAUCCCCUAAGGUAGUCAAAAUCAAAAAAACUUUUUUUCCUUUUGCUGGCUUUUUCUUUUUUCUUUUUCAGCUGCGGGAAUUUAGCCAAUUCAGAGGUCUUGUUCUCCAUAAUUUGGAACUUUCCUUCGGAUUUGAUCAAGUUGGAUAGAGUUGGUCAAACCCAAUAGGAAAAAGAUGAAAACAACAAGAAACAGAAACAAACAAAACAACAAAAAAAAACAGACCCCACACCUCCAGACCCUGCUGAGGGAGGGCCACCCAUUUCUAGUCCCAGCUCCUCCUCUAACUGUCCGUGUGACCUUAAACAAGGCCUUGCCCCUCUCUGGCCUCAGUAUCCGCCUCUGAACAAUGGGGCUGGGCCUGCUGACCUUCUGAUUCUUUUCUGCUCUGUGAGUUUGUGAACUUGUGAUAGGGAGACAAGAGUCCUAGGAAAUGGAAGGAGAGCACGUUUCACUCUGUCCAGCAGAGGGCAGCAGCUACCCACAAAUCAACAGCUGGGCAAAGCCAGGGCUGUGCGGGAGCUAUGCACAAGUUCUGCCUCCUGAAGCCUUCAGUGGCAGCCUCUGAGCCAGAGGGUUCCAAGCAGAAGAGGUCCCGCCCCUGGAGAGGGACCUCAGAAAGGUCCUUCAAGCCCCCUCUCAGCUCUUACUAACGGCAUCCCAGAUGCCCUAUUCCUCUUCUGCAGAGAGAAGGUGGGUCAGCCACUAAAUGGUGCUUGGACCUUGCAGCUUGGUGGGAAUGAGGAAGCUUAUUCAAGCAAGGAAGACGAGACAGGCAAAAACCGACGCAUAAGCCAAAAGCCCCUCCAAAGCGAGGUGUCGUUCCAGGCUGACAAGUCUCCAGCAGGGUGGACUUCAGACUCCCUGUUAGGAACUGAAUUGUGUCCCCGAAAACGAGAAAGUCACCCCAGAGUAUGACCUAAUUCAGAAAAGGUCAUUGCAGAUGCAUUUAAUUAAGUGAAGAUGAGCUCGUGCUGGAGUAGGGUGGACUCUGAACCCAGUAGGACAAGCGUCCUUAUUAAAAAGAGGGAAAUCUGGACACACACAGAGCAGAGACCGCCCUGUGAAGAUGGAGGCAGAGAUCAGAGAGAUGCUGCCACAUGCCACAAAUGCCUGGGGCGCCCAGAAACUACACGGAGCCUCCCCCAGCGUCUUCAGCAGGAGCAUGGCUCGGCCAACACUUUGAUCUUGGCCUUCCAGCCUCCAGAACGUUUUCCUAAAAUUCCCUUUUCCACUGGUGUGUGGUGCAAGAUGAGGCACAUUUUCCAUGGAUGGUGAACAGAGGGAGGAGCCUUUUGAUCACAACCAGGUCACUCCACUUCUAAGCCACUGUGUCUCCAGCCCCACAAGACUAAGGGAGAGAGCGCAGAAUGGUGGAGAGUAAGCUGUGCUGGGACCGUUGUUUCCAUAACCUCGUUUUCUGUGUCCGGCUGACACACCUUCAAAGCGGCAUCAGGUCCUAAACUGUAGCUUGCAACGUGCCUGUUUCCAGAAACCAAGGUGAAAGUGCUUUUAGACAGUGUUCCCAUGCAAGGGUCCCUUCCCAAAUUUUCUCUGGAAAUGCAUGUUUCUCUGAACUCUGAGUCCCAAGAAAAAUCAUUUGAGACAUCAAGAAAAUGGGGGAAGUGCUAAAAUUGUGUGGGAAUUCAAGCUUAACAAUAAACAUCAAGACAUUUUUGGUAAAAAUGAAUCCACUGACAUCAGGGAGGAGCAAGAGAACAGCACGCUGACACUGGGUCAGAGGCUAAGACCAACAUUUCUGGGAACCACUCCUGGAAGGGCACAGAUGAGACGCUUUCAACCUCUCAUCAGCCAGCCUGGCCUGUAGCUGCUGCACGUUAUGAGUGUGUUCCUGGCAUGACUGCUUCUAACAGCAACCAUUUCAUUAAGUUUUUAAGUGCCUGGCAAUUGCUUGGUUAAGACCGGUGUCUGCUCCAUGGCAGCCUCUUCCUGUUUUUGCCCGAAUGAUGAAGGAGGAAGUUUACAUCUUGCUCCCUGGGGACAGGCAGAGACAGUGUGUGCACUUCCAUCCUACAAGGACCAGAUCUGAACAGUCUGGAGAGAAGAUCUGUGGCGGCAGCAGACAGAUCUCUGCUUCAGGGGCCAGGUGUCCAGGUGGAACACCACAGCGUGGCAGAGAGAACAGAGGCUUCUCUGCAUGCCUGCCAGGGAAUUGGCACCAUGUCAACAGAAAUCUUAGGUUACAGGAACAGGAACCAGCCCUGACUGAUGUGUGCAAGCUCGGAGCUUUCCUUUCUCCUUGCACUUCCCACAUGUUCCCCACAUAAGCAGCAACCACAGAGCCACCCCCUGCCACCCAACGACUCUCUCCUGAGCUAGAAACUUGUAAGACUCAGCUAGGAGUCUGAAUGGUUGGACAUCUAAAGCAAAGAAUAACCUAGUUUGUAACUUGGGAUCAAAGGAAGAACUGAAUAUCCACAUUCUGUGUAAAAGAGGCCACUUUGGAGAUUUCUAUGCCUCUCAGGGGCUCUACCUCAGAAUGGCUCAGCUGUAAUUAUUUUUGGAUUCCUAUACAAAUCCAACUUCCCUGGAAAGAGAAAGUCUCAUGUUUAUUAAUAAUAUGAGGAAAGAAUUAAAAUAUAUCAGCUGCUAUGGGCUACUGUCGUUUAUUUUGACUUUUCUUUUGUAGAAGAAAUGCUGAUGCAGUGUCAUUCUUGUGUCUGUCCUCCUUAGAGAAUGCCUGAACAGUUCCAUUGACUCAAAGUAAAGAUCAAAAGAACCAAAUGACAGUAAUAGCCAAGUGUAAUCAUCAGUAACCGUGUUUUCUAUCCACGGGUAAAAAACAAUCAUCCUCUUCAUUAUGGGUUUCAAUUUAAAAUGUAAUACAUUUUUAGAAAUGCCUAUUUCCUUUUAUAAUCUCUUUAUAUAAUCUAGGUUACUCUGGCUCUUAGGUCUUCAUUUAACUACUGAAAAGAUUUGAUCUCAAAUCAAUGACCUAACCACCCAUGACCACCUCCCACCUCCCUCCCCAUACACCCCCCAGCAUGAAUUCUGGUAACUCAGGUAAAAUGCUUUCUGGAAACCUGCCUCUAUUAGUCUGUUUUCAAGCUGCUAAUAAACACAUACCCAAAACUGGGUAAUUUAUAAAGGAAAGAGGUUUCCUUUAUAGUUCUACAUGGCUUGGGAGGCCUCAAAAUCAUGGUGGAAGGCGAAUGAGAAGCAAAGUCACAUCUUACAUGGCAGCAGGGAAAAGAGAGUUUGUGUAGGGGAACACCCCUUUAAAAAACCAUCAGAUCUUGUGACACUCAUUCACUAUCAAGAGAACAGCAUGGAAAGACCUGCCCCCAUGAUUCAAUUACCUCCCAUGACACAUGGGAAUUAUAGGAGCUACAAUUCACAAUGAGAUUUGGGUGGGGACACAGACAAACCAUGUCACUGCCUAAAACCAACUCAAUAGUCUAAGGAAUUUGACUGGGGAGAAUCUGGAGAGGAUUUAAUUAAUUUGGCAAAAGGAUUAGCAAUUGGAGCUAAGUGAGAAAAGAGAAUUCUUGGAGGAAAAAAAGAUGUUUAGUUACACUGAGAAAUUAAAACCUGAAGCAAUUGCCUUUGAGAUUUUUUUCAGGAAAUGAGUAUUGACGGCCUACUGUGUGUCAAAUUAUGUGUUUCACGUUAAAGACUCCAAAGUAGAUAAGACAUAGGCCCAGCCUUGGGGAGCUCAUUGAGCCACAGAGAAAGUUUGAAUGUUUCAGAGAAAUCAUCAAGAACAUGGGAUCAGCAAUCUAUUAUAUUUUAAUUGCCUCUUUUCAUGAUUAUAAAAGCAAUGCAUGCCUGCUGAAGAGAAUUUGGAAAAACAAAGAAGAAAUUAAAAAACAUCUCUGAUCCUGCCACCAGAAAUCACCACUGUUAGCAAUUGUGUCACUUCUGUAGGUCAAUAUGGUUAUCAUAAUAAGCUCUAGCAUUGAUUACAUGCAUCUCAUGUA